This 723-nucleotide ribosomal RNA is filed under the name Pectobacterium parmentieri. RNAcentral describes it as "partial 23S ribosomal RNA". It matches the Rfam family "Bacterial large subunit ribosomal RNA", at positions 1958 to 2471 of the family's 2925-position model. The record is from RNAcentral. Lineage: Bacteria; Pseudomonadati; Pseudomonadota; Gammaproteobacteria; Enterobacterales; Pectobacteriaceae.
AGCGAAAUUCCUUGGCCGUUAAAUGCGGUCCAGCAUGAACGAUCCCAUGAUACAACAGCUGUCUCCGCGAUAGACUCAGUGAAAUUGGAAUAGCUGUGCAGAUACAGUUUACCCAUAGUCAGACGGGAAGACCCUAUGCAGCUUUACUGUAACUAGUUAUUGCUUACGAUCGGAUUAGGUUGUAGAGUAUAAGGUAGUCGAUUAGACCUAUGUGAAACACCUUUACUUAAUAGGCCGUAAGCUGGUUAAUUUAAUAAUUGACCUUUUUUCAUUAUUUUAUAUAAUUGAGAAAGUUUCUUUAAUAAGAAAUAUAAAAAUUAGUUUAUACUAAGAAAAAAUAGCAGCUAUUACUUUUUUAAUAAAGAUAGUUGUGACAGUGACUAGCUGGCAGUUUUUGUGGGGCGCAAUUCUCAAAAAAAGUAUCUGAGUAAGUCCGAUUAAUUUAUUUAAUUUAGGUUAAAUUAAUUUAAAAUAUAAAGGUUUGGUUGAACCCAAUGGAAAUGGGCAGAUGAAUUCUUGAUAGUAACUAUAAUUUAUUAUAAACUCAAAAAGAAUUUGGUUCUUUUCUUUAUGAAAAGGAUUAAGCAGAAUCUAACAACAAGUGUAAUGGCAUAACCAAGCCUAACUGCGAGACCUACAAGUCGAGCAGACACGUAAGUGGGGCAUAGUGACCAGAUGGUUCAUCAUGGAAUGGCCAUCGUUUAACGAAUAAAGUUACGCUAG